AGUGAACGCUGGCGGUAGGCCUAACACAUGCAAGUCGAACGGCAGCACAGUAAGAGCUUGCUCUUACGGGUGGCGAGUGGCGGACGGGUGAGGAAUACAUCGGAAUCUACUUUUUCGUGGGGGAUAACGUAGGGAAACUUACGCUAAUACCGCAUACGGCCUACGGGUGAAAGCAGGGGAUCUUCGGACCUUGCGCGAUUGAAUGAGCCGAUGUCGGAUUAGCUAGUUGGCGGGGUAAAGGCCCACCAAGGCGACGAUCCGUAGCUGGUCUGAGAGGAUGAGCAGCCACACUGGAACUGAGACACGGUCCAGACUCCUACGGGAGGCAGCAGUGGGGAAUAUUGGACAAUGGGCGCAAGCCUGAUCCAGCCAUACCGCGUGGGUGAAGAAGGCCUUCGGGUUGUAAAGCCCUUUUGUUGGGAAAGAAAAGCAGCAGGUUAAUACCCCGCUGUUCUGACGGUACCCAGAAUAAGCACCGGCUAACUUCGUG
Molecule: ribosomal RNA, 490 nt
Filed under: uncultured bacterium
Lineage: Bacteria
Description: partial 16S ribosomal RNA
Rfam family: Bacterial small subunit ribosomal RNA
Source: RNAcentral